RNAcentral lists this ribosomal RNA (252 nucleotides) under uncultured bacterium. RNAcentral describes it as "partial 16S ribosomal RNA". It matches the Rfam family "Bacterial small subunit ribosomal RNA", at positions 525 to 776 of the family's 1533-position model. The record is from RNAcentral.
ACGGAGGAUGCAAGCGUUAUCCGGAAUGAUUGGGCGUAAAGGGUCCGCAGGUGGAACUGAAAGUCUGCUGUUAAAGAAUUUGGCUCAACCAGAUAAAAGCAGUGGAAACUACAGAACUAGAGUACGUUCGGGGCAGAAGGAAUUCCUAGUGUAGCGGUGAAAUGCGUAGAUAUUAGGAAGAACACCGGUGGCGAAAGCGUUCUGCUAGGCCGUAACUGACACUGAGGGACGAAAGCUAGGGGAGCGAAUGGG